CUCUGUGAUGAUAACGCUAUAUAGGAAGUGCCGUCUGAUGCGAUAACUGACGAUGGUAAGCGUUAUUCUGAGA
Megalops cyprinoides (Indo-Pacific tarpon) is the source of this 73-nucleotide small nucleolar RNA. RefSeq annotates it as small nucleolar RNA SNORD49. The record is from RefSeq and is a predicted model, not a curated record. NCBI's taxonomy places the organism in Eukaryota, Metazoa, Chordata, Actinopteri, Elopiformes, Megalopidae. The transcript has a single exon.